UUGGAGGGCAAGUCUGGUGCCAGCAGCCGCGGUAAUUCCAGCUCCAAUAGCGUAUAUUAAAGUUGUUGCAGUUAAAAAGCUCGUAGUUGAAUUUCGGGGUUAGUAGGUUGGUCAUGCCUCUGGUAUGUACUGAUCUCACUGAUUCCUCCUUCCUUAUGAACCGUAAUGCCAUUAAUUUGGUGUUGCGGGGAAUUUGGACUGUUACUUUGAAAAAAUUAGAGUGUUUAAAGCAGGCUAACGCUUGAAUACAUUAGCAUGGAAUAAUGAAAUAGGACGUUCGAUCUUAUUUUGUUGGUUUCUAGGAUUGACGUAAUGAUUAAUAGGGAUAGUUGGGGGCAUUAGUAUUCAAUUGUCAGAGGUGAAAUUCUUGGAUUUAUUGAAGACUGACUACUGCGAAAGCAUUUGCCAAGGAUGUUUUCAUUAAUCAAGAACGAAAGUUAGGGGAUCGAAGACGAUCAGAUACCGUCGUAGUCUUAACCAUAAACUAUGCCGACUAGGGAUCGGAUGACGUUAAUUUUUUAAUGACUCAUUCGGCACCUUACGGGAAAC
Molecule: ribosomal RNA, 549 nt
Filed under: uncultured Glomus
Lineage: Eukaryota; Fungi; Glomeromycota; Glomeromycetes; Glomerales; Glomeraceae
Description: SSU rRNA
Rfam family: Eukaryotic small subunit ribosomal RNA
Source: RNAcentral